Molecule: ribosomal RNA, 351 nt
Filed under: Triticum aestivum (bread wheat)
Lineage: Eukaryota; Viridiplantae; Streptophyta; Magnoliopsida; Poales; Poaceae
Description: partial small subunit ribosomal RNA
Source: RNAcentral
AUGGCAACUUUUUUUUUCUUCUUACGGUCACAUGUCAAUUUCAAAGCACUAUUCUACCAAAACAUUGCAAAUUUUAGAAAAAAAACAUAUGUCAGUAUUCACUCUAUGAAUUUUUUGAAUUUACAUAUAAUGCAAUUUCGUAAACCACUGGAAAAAUGUACAGAUGAAGAGGCAUUCAAUCAAUUUCUUGAAUCACUUAGGGUGUGUUCGGUUCGGGAACGAAGUAGAACGGAAUGUCAUGCUUCCAUUCCACCAGAGCGGAUCGGUUUCGUCUUUAUGUUUGGUAGGAGCAAUUGCGAGGAAUGGAAUGAUUACAUUUUGGUGUUUGGUUUGAGAGAUGGAACGGAAUAG